UAUAGUAUAGUUUAAAUUAAAACGUAAAUUUGUGGAAUUUAAGUUGCUAUCGCUACUAUAA
Molecule: transfer RNA, 61 nt
Filed under: Paracyclopina nana
Lineage: Eukaryota; Metazoa; Arthropoda; Copepoda; Cyclopoida; Cyclopettidae
Description: tRNA-His
Source: RNAcentral